GAUGAACGCUGGCGGCGUGCCUAAUACAUGCAAGUCGAGCGAACGGACGAGAAGCUUGCUUUUCUGAUGUUAGCGGCGGACGGGUGAGUAACACGUGGAUAACCUACCUAUAAGACUGGGAUAACUUCGGGAAACCGGAGCUAAUACCGGAUAAUAUUUUGAACCGCAUGGUUCAAAAGUGAAAGACGGUCUUGCUGUCACUUAUAGAUGGAUCCGCGCUGCAUUAGCUAGUUGGUAAGGUAACGGCUUACCAAGGCAACGAUGCAUAGCCGACCUGAGAGGGUGAUCGGCCACACUGGAACUGAGACACGGUCCAGACUCCUACGGGAGGCAGCAGUAGGGAAUCUUCCGCAAUGGGCGAAAGCCUGACGGAGCAACGCCGCGUGAGUGGUGAAGGUCUUCGGAUCGUAAAACUCUGUUAUUAGGGAAGAACAUAUGUGUAAGUAACUGUGCACAUCUUGACGGUACCUAAUCAGAAAGCCACGGCUAACUACGU
This 496-nucleotide ribosomal RNA is filed under the name uncultured bacterium. RNAcentral describes it as "partial 16S ribosomal RNA". It matches the Rfam family "Bacterial small subunit ribosomal RNA", at positions 28 to 506 of the family's 1533-position model. The record is from RNAcentral.